CUGACGUAAGCUACCUAAACACAUAUUUUUAGAAGAUCUCCAUAAUACCCUAGCACUCUCAGUAAAGGAUACAUGAAGAGAAAGCAGUUGGAGUUCCCACUGUGGCUCAGUGGGUUAGGGACCUGACAUAGUGUACGUGAGCAUGUGGGUUCCAUCCCUGGCCUCGCUCAGUGGGUUAAGGAUCUGGUGUUGUUGCAGGCUGCAGUGUAGGUCGAAGAUGUGGCUUGGAUCCACUGUUGGUGCAACUGCGGUGUAGGCUGGCAGCUGCAGCUCCAAUUCGACCCCUGGCCCAGGAAAUUUCCAUACGCUGCGGGUGCAGCCAUAGAAAGAAAGCAGUCACCCUCGGGAAUAAAAACCACAGCCUCCCACCUCGAUCUUUUUUAUUGUGAGAAAAUGCACCUUAAGUAAAAUUUACUAUUUUAACCAUUUCGAAGUACGCAAUUAAAUGGCAUUAAAUACCUUCCCAAUGUUAUGCCACCAUCACCGCUACCUGAUUUGUUGUCAUUUCAAAAGGAGACCUGUGCCCACUGGCAGUCACCCUGUUCCACUCCCCUGAGGCCCCGGCAGCCCCUAAUCUGCUUUCUCUCUCUAGGGAUUUGCCUCUUCUGGGCGUUUCCCAUACAUGGAAGUGGAGCCUCUUUUUUCUCAGCGAAUGGCUCUGCAGGCACAUCUGUGUUGUAGUUUAAGGCUGAGAGAGGGCGCCCCAGAGGCGGAGGCUGCUCCCACCAGCAUCUUCAUCACUCUACCUGCAGACUAGGAAUUUCUUUCUUUCUUUCUUUUUUUUGUCUUUUUGGGGCCGUACCUGCAGCAUAUGGAGGUUCCCAGGCCAGGGGUUCAGUCGGAGCUGUAGCUGCCGGCCUACGCCAGAGCCACAGCAACACCAGAUCCAAGCUGCAUCUGCGACCUACGCCCCAGCUCAUAGCAACGCCGGAUCCUUAACCCACUGAGUGAGGCCAGGGAUUGAACCUGCGUCCUCAUGGUUGCUAGCCAGAUUUGUUAACUGCUGAGCCACGACGGGAACUCCCAGACUAGGAAUUUCUAACAUUCAGGGGGGUUGCGGUGGGGGAAGCUUCUUACAUCAUCCUGGGAACAUUUAAGCUGGGAAGAGUGUUGGGCUUCUCGUUGCCAUUCUGCCUUUUCCCCUUUUCCACUCUUCGUGUAGAGGAUGCACGUGGUCAUUUGAAUGCGCUGGAAUCGGGAGGCCUCCAACCAGCUCUGGACACAACCUACCCAAGUGGAUCUUUGGCGAUGGCUCUUGCUCCUAGGAAUGCAGGGGAGUUUCCAGAACCCACUGCGCAGGCCUGUAUGACGCAGGCUUCGUUCUUAUAUGAUCGUAUAAAGAUAAAUAAACAGCCUAAGGGUGCUUUCCCUUGCAGCGACCCAGAUAGAAGACGCAGGCCAUGUUCUAAAAGGUCGUGGGUCCCCACCUCCUGUCCAGAGCGGGAGUCCGUCACUGCUGCUCGGUGCUCCCUGGAAACUGGACAAAACGCAGGGGCCCAAAGUGCCCGUAUGCAGUUCCUGCCUCCAGAAGGUAGACUGAGUUGGCCUGGGUUGUGGCUGGGUGGGGGUGGGGGGUCAGAAUUACUUUAUUUUAUUUUCGUCUUUUUGCCUUUUCCAGGGCCGUUCUUGCGGCAUAUGGAGAGUCCCAGGCUAGGGGUCUAAUCGGAGCUGUAGCCACUGGCCUACACCAGAGCCACAGCAACUCGGGAUCUGAGCCAAGUCUGCAACCUACACCAGAGCUAAUGGCAGUGACGGAUCCUCAACCACUGAGCAAGGCCAGGGAUCGAACGCGCAACCUAAUGGUUCCUAGUUGGAUUCGUUAACCACUGAGCCACGAUGGGCACUCCUAUUUUACUUUUUAUUUUUAUAUAUUUUUACAGCCACACCCACUGCAUUAUGGAAGUUCCCGGGCUAAGAGUGGAAUCAGAGCGACAGCUGAGGCCUCCACCACAGCCACAGCCACACUGAAUCCGAGGCACGUAUGCGACCUACACGGCAGCUCAUGGCAACGCCAGAUCCUUAACCCACUGAGCGAGGCCAGGGAUCGAACCCAUGUCCUCAUGGAUACUAGUUGGGUUUGUUACCACCGAGCCACCAUGAGAACGCCAAGAAUCACUAUUUCCUGUUUGUGCUUCGGCCUGGGCCUGGGUCCCCAUCACCUGGAGGCUGACCCACUGCUGUGAGGCAGGAGAAGUGCACCUGCUGGGAGGCCAGCUGGGAGCCACGUGCCUGGGGUCUGGGCAGUGACUCCCUGUGCCACCACCUCCUCGAGGGUCCAAGCUUUAUUUCAGCAGGUGGAGUGGGUGCUGUGACCCCACCUGGAUGGUGCAGAGGUUCGUCUUUAAAUAGGGUCCUACAGUCCCCCAGACAAGUCUGCGUCUGCCAUGGCGCCGUGCAAGGAAAACACAAGUGUGCUCUGAGUCACCUGCGACCGUGCUCCUGUGCGCUGUUCGUUUGCAUGGUCGGGAGUUCGGUGUGUUCAGGUGCAGAGCAGCCGAAGGGUUUCUGGCUUUUUAAAAGACUGGCUCUCCUGCUCUGUCCGUAGCACCCCCAACUUCCCCGCACCACCUCAUUUUUUUCUCGUGGCCAGUGUAAAUUUGCAUCCACUGCCCGGCCCUUCUCCCAGCAGGGCUCUGACCCUGUGAGGGGCCUGAGUCAUCUGGUUGCCACGUGCUGGUGGGAAGAGCAGGUUCGCAGAGCGGACCGGCCAGCAGCAUCCUAUAAAGGAACUGCUGCUCCCAGACUGACCCUCUGGGAGCCAGGCUUGUGCAGGGACGUGCGGGUGGACGGGUUCUGGGAGGGGUGGCCACGUGGAGGUCGAGUUUACAGCUCGCUCGCUGGGUCACCAGCCAUAUGGCUUUGAGCAAAUGUCCUCCUGCGUGACACAAAGAGCGGUGCCAGGCUGGCCUCUGUCCAGGAAGGGACCCUUGGGAAGCUGGAGGGCUGGGAGGUGGGGCCCUCAAAGGAGUCGCCGAGUGUCCCUGCUGUUGAUGUAGCUUCCCUUCAAGGGGCAGCUUCUGAAUUACACACAGCUUCUGAAUGUGCCUGCAGAGGGUGGGGCGCUUGCGUGACAGCGUGACCCGAGCCAUGGGCUCACUUGGAGCAGGGUUGUUCCGUGUGGGCCGCAGGCGCUGGUGAUGUAAACCCACCUUUAAAUGCGGUGUCAUUGUGAGCCUCAGGGUUGUAGGAUUGCAGAGCUUAAAUCUGAAGUGCAGGGGAAUCCUUAUCGUGUCUGAACUUUCAGAGGGUGUCAUCGAUAGAAACGUUACCAUCCUGGAGUUCCCGCUGUGGUGCAGCAGAAACAAAUCCGACCAGGAGCCAUGGCGUUGUGGGUUUGAUUCCUGGGGUCGCUCAGUGGGUUAAGGAUCUGGCGUUGCCGUGAGCGGUGGUGUAAGUCGCAGACGUGGCUCAGAUCUGGCGUUGCUGUGGCUGUGGUGUAGGCCGGCGGCUGUAGCUGAUUACACCCCUAGCCUGGGAACCUCCACGUGCCGUGGGUGCAGCCCUAAAAAGACAAGAGACCAAAGAAAGAAAGAUUGCCAUCCUUAAAGCCUGUAGCAGGUUUCCCAAACCACCAGCCGUGAGAUUCCCCGGAUCACUCCGCCACCCCCCUUAACCUGAGUCUGAGUUGGUUGGGACCGUGAAUGUUGAUUGUCGGUGCUUGAAUUAAGCAUUCUUCUCAAACUCCAGAGUCUCUCGUGGUUAAGACUCAAGCUGUCACGCCCAGAGCCCUUGCUUGGCCCCGAGCCUCUGCAGGUGGAGCCCUUCAGAGCUCUCUGGCCCUGACCUGGGCAGGCGCACACAGCUCUGGCGCACAAGGUCCCUGUGUGCCCAGUGGCUGUAGGGCACACCCCGCCCGGUCCUUGCCCCCAGCCACCAUGGGUGCUGUCCUGCUGCUCGGUCUUGCCCAGAAGCCAGUUCCAGAAGAAGGGGGCUGGUUCUCAGGAGCUGCUGGUUUUCAGGGCUGCUUCCUUGCAUGAGUCUGAGGACACCCCUGGGUUGCAUGUCCUUGUGCAGCAGCCCCCGAGACUCCCCUGAGCAACCUGUGUCGACCAACAAUGAAAUACAGUGUCUUUGACCCUUGGAAAUAGAAGUGUACAGUUGGAGUUCCCACGGGGGCGCAAUGGGGUUGAUGGCGUCUGGGGGGCGCUGGGAAUGCAGGUUCUAUCCCCGGUCUGGCAGAGUGGGUUAAGGAUCCGGCAUUGCAGCAAGCUGUGGCCUAGGUUGAAACUGUGGCUGGGAUCUCAUCCCUGGCCUGGGAACUCCAUAUGCUGCAGGGGGACCAAAAAAUAAUAAUAAUACUGUACAGGUUAACAAUUCCGGUACUACUGCACAGAUCUCCUGGGCUUGAGCAAAUAAGCAAAUAGUGAUUCACCGUGGAAAAAAAGAGGGGAUGAAGUUUUUCUUAAAAUGCCGACGACAGGUAUAGAAAGUGACUGAGUAGGCAAAUGGAUAUAUACGCCCGUUUGUGACUCAAGAAAAGAAGAUUUCUGGGAGUGCCCGUCGGUGCUCAACAGCAAUGAACCAUGAGGACGCAGGUUCAAUCCCUGGCCCUGCUCAGUAGGUUAAGGAUCUGGCGUUGCUGUGGGCUGUGGUGUAGGUCGCAGAUGACGUUUGGAUCAGGUGUUGCUGUGGCUGUGAUGUAGGCCAGUGGCUAUAGCUCUGAUUCCACCUCUAGCCUGGGAACCCCUUUAUGCCUUGGGUGCAGCUCU
This 4709-nucleotide long non-coding RNA is filed under the name Sus scrofa (pig). RNAcentral describes it as "lncRNA (ENSSSCG00065021926.1)". The record is from RNAcentral. Lineage: Eukaryota; Metazoa; Chordata; Mammalia; Artiodactyla; Suidae.